RNAcentral lists this ribosomal RNA (498 nucleotides) under uncultured bacterium. RNAcentral's name for it is "partial 16S ribosomal RNA". It matches the Rfam family "Bacterial small subunit ribosomal RNA", at positions 30 to 523 of the family's 1533-position model. The record is from RNAcentral.
AUUGAACGCUGGCGGCAUGCCUUACACAUGCAAGUCGAACGGUAACGCGGGACAACCUGGCGACGAGUGGCGAACGGGUGAGUAAUGUAUCGGAACGCGCCCAGUUGUGGGGGAUAACUGCUCGAAAGUUACGCUAAUACCGCAUACGACCUGAGGGUGAAAGCAGGGGAUCGCAAGACCUUGCGUUAUACGAGCGGCCGAUGUCAGAUUAGCUAGUUGGUGGGGUAAAGGCUCACCAAGCCGACGAUCUGUAGCUGGUCUGAGAGGACGACCAGCCACACUGGGACUGAGACACGGCCCAGACUCCUACGGGAGGCAGCAGUGGGGAAUUUUGGACAAUGGGCGCAAGCCUGAUCCAGCAAUGCCGCGUGCAGGAUGAAGGCCUUCGGGUUGUAAGCUGCUUUUGUACGGAGCGAAAAGGCUCUCUCUAAUACAGGGGGCUCAUGGCGGUACCGUAAGAAUAAGCACCGGCUAACUACGUGCCAGCAGCCGCAGUAA